RNAcentral lists this unclassified non-coding RNA (339 nucleotides) under soil metagenome. RNAcentral describes it as "partial contains 5.8S ribosomal RNA, internal transcribed spacer 2, and large subunit ribosomal RNA". The stretch from base 1 to 120 matches the Rfam family "5.8S ribosomal RNA", at positions 35 to 154 of the family's 154-position model. The record is from RNAcentral.
GAUGAAGAACGUAGCGAAAUGCGAUAAGUAAUGUGAAUUGCAGAAUUCCGUGAAUCAUCGAAUCUUUGAACGCACAUUGCGCCCCCUGGUAUUCCGGGGGGCAUGCCUGUCCGAGCGUCAUUGCAACCCUCAAGCGCGGCUUGUGUGUUGGGCUUCGUCCCCCCGUGGACGUGCCCGAAAGGCAGUGGCGGCGUCCCGAAUGGUGCCCGAGCGUAUGGGAACUCUCUUCCGCUCGAACCGGCCCAUUCGGCGCUGGUCGAACCCCAAUUUUUUUUUACCGGUUGACCUCGGAUCAGGUAAGGAUACCCGCUGAACUUAAGCAUAUCAAUAAGCGGAGGA